AUCACUUCUCAGACUUUUGGCUAAGAUCAAGUGUAGUAUCUGUACUUAUCAGUUUAAAGAAGGGGAUUCCAGAAGAGCUCAGUAGGGGAUCAAAGGAAGGAGUAAAGAGUUGGACCUUAAUAAAAGAGUGGACUCAUCACCUCAGAGGCUGAUGCAAAGAGAACUUUGGGAAUGGGGUUGCAGACACAUU
RNAcentral lists this small nuclear RNA (190 nucleotides) under Mustela putorius furo (domestic ferret). RNAcentral describes it as "U2 spliceosomal RNA". It matches the Rfam family "U2 spliceosomal RNA". From Rfam's summary of the family: U2 is a small nuclear RNA (snRNA) component of the spliceosome (involved in pre-mRNA splicing). Complementary binding between U2 snRNA (in an area lying towards the 5' end but 3' to hairpin I) and the branchpoint sequence (BPS) of the intron results the bulging out of an unpaired adenosine, on the BPS, which initiates a nucleophilic attack at the intronic 5' splice site, thus starting the first of two transesterification reactions that mediate splicing. The record is from Rfam by way of RNAcentral. Lineage: Eukaryota; Metazoa; Chordata; Mammalia; Carnivora; Mustelidae.